AGUGAACGCUGGCGGCAGGCCUAAUACAUGCAAGUCGAACGGCAGCACAGUGGAGCUUGCUCCAUGGGUGGCGAGUGGCGGACGGGUGAGGAAUACAUGGGAAUCUGCCCAGUCGUGGGGGAUAACGUAUGGAAACGUACGCUAAUACCGCAUGCGCCCUUCGGGGGAAAGUCGGGGACCGCAAGGCCUCACGUUAUACGAGCGGCCGAUGUCGGAUUAGCUAGUUGGUGGGGUAAAGGCCUACCAAGGCGACGAUCCGUAGCGGGUCUGAGAGGAUGAUCCGCCACACUGGGACUGAGACACGGCCCAGACUCCUACGGGAGGCAGCAGUGGGGAAUUUUGGACAAUGGGGGCAACCCUGAUCCAGCCAUGCCGCGUGAGUGAAGAAGGCCUUCGGGUUGUAAAGCUCUUUCAGACGGAAAGAAAUCGCACGGGUGAAUAUCCCGUGUGGAUGACGGUACCGUAAGAAGAAGCACCGGCUAACUACGUG
RNAcentral lists this ribosomal RNA (490 nucleotides) under uncultured bacterium. Its description in RNAcentral is "bacterial SSU rRNA". It matches the Rfam family "Bacterial small subunit ribosomal RNA", at positions 29 to 507 of the family's 1533-position model. The record is from RNAcentral.